UGGUGCCUGUGGACGGACGG
RNAcentral lists this unclassified non-coding RNA (20 nucleotides) under Chlamydomonas reinhardtii. RNAcentral's name for it is "small RNA Cre_3457". Lineage: Eukaryota; Viridiplantae; Chlorophyta; Chlorophyceae; Chlamydomonadales; Chlamydomonadaceae. The record is from RNAcentral.